AAAAUUCAAAGAGAAAGCAUAGGUUCAGAUUACCUUUUCCAAGUCCAAGCAUCAAAGAAGGCAAUCCGAUUCUGAGCACCUAAAAGCACUUCCAGGAAGUUUCUUUUUUGAAUCUCUAGAUACCAAUCCGAAACCCUAAAGCUGUGGACAUAAAAGGAGAAGAGAAUCAGAAGGAAAAGAAAAAACGAAAAAAUUAGGAGGCGACCACAAACGAAAAAACCCUAAAAU
RNAcentral lists this long non-coding RNA (228 nucleotides) under Lathyrus oleraceus (garden pea). RNAcentral's name for it is "Pisum sativum (pea) long non-coding RNA (PSAT_LNC019453)". The record is from RNAcentral. Lineage: Eukaryota; Viridiplantae; Streptophyta; Magnoliopsida; Fabales; Fabaceae.